UGAUUGAAACUAAAUCAAUCAUGAGAUCAACUAUGUGAAGCACCAAAAAACUCCGGGGUUUUUGGAAAACAAGCUGAGUAAGCUGCAAUUGUAAUUAAUAAAGCUUGGCUCUGACUUGUAAGUAUAGCGAUAAACUAAGGAAUACACAUGGUUUUAUUUGAUUGAGGUGAGGUAAAAGGGAAGAAUAUUGAUAUGAAAAAUUUCAAUAUUAUUCUUUUUUUUGGUAUUAUGAAAAACAUAAUGCCUUGCAACGUCCCACUAACACCAGUGCUGGAGAUUAGGUUAAUAAACGUAAGUUUGACCUAGAUUAGUUUUUAAGAUCUGGUUAACUUGGUGCCAGCAUCCGCGGUUAUACCAAGAGAUCAAGCUAUACACACAAAGGUAAAAAGGUAGUUAGGUAAAAAAAUUUAGUUUUAAGAUUUUUUAUUAGGAAGUGAAAUUCGCAAAUAAAAAAAUAUUUUAUUUAGAACUAAAUAUACCGAAUCUGCGACAAUCUUGAGGGAAACUGGGAUUAGAUACCCCAUUAUUCUUGAUUAUAAAUUAAUAUAUAAUUUACCAGAGUACUAUGAACACACAGUUUAAAACUCAAAGGGCUUGGCGGUGCUUUAGACUAUUCAGGGGAACCUGUCUCGUAAUCGAUAGUCCACGAUACACCUAACCUUUUUUAGUUAUCAGUAUGUAUACCGUCGUCGUCAGGUAACUUUUAAAAAUAAAGAAGUUAGCGACAAAAAUUAUAAUAAUUUUGUACGUCAGAUCAAGGUGCAGCUUAUAAAAAGGUGAGGAUGGGUUACAAUUAAGAUUUAUAAUAACGGAAAAAAGCUUGAUAUAGCUUUUAAUGAAGGAGGACUUGAAAGUAAAAUUGUUAUAUACAAAUUUUUUGAAUUUAGCUCUGAAGCGUGCACACAUCGCCCGUCGCUCUCGUUGAAAAAUGAGAUAAGUCGUAACACAGUAGGGGUAACGGAAGUUGUCCCUAGAUG
This 977-nucleotide ribosomal RNA is filed under the name Alviniconcha hessleri. RNAcentral's name for it is "small subunit ribosomal RNA". The stretch from base 263 to 976 matches the Rfam family "Microsporidia small subunit ribosomal RNA". The record is from RNAcentral. Lineage: Eukaryota; Metazoa; Mollusca; Gastropoda; Provannidae.